This 246-nucleotide unclassified non-coding RNA is filed under the name Hevea brasiliensis (rubber tree). The record is from RNAcentral. Lineage: Eukaryota; Viridiplantae; Streptophyta; Magnoliopsida; Malpighiales; Euphorbiaceae.
AAAGACAAGAAAAAGAAAAGUUGAGGAAGGAGAUAAGAAAGCUUUUGAUUGGGAUAGCUUGAGAAAGGAAGUCCAAUCAAAGAGUGGGAAAAAAGAAAGAAGCAAGGAUGCAAUGGACUCAUUGAACUACGAAGCAGUCAGAAGUGCAGCAGUUAAAGAAAUUUCUGAUGCUAUUAAGGAACGAGGGAUGAACAACAUGCUGGCAGAGCGAAUUAAGGACUUCCUCGAUAGACUGGUGAGGGAUCA